Molecule: long non-coding RNA, 423 nt
Filed under: Dicentrarchus labrax (European seabass)
Lineage: Eukaryota; Metazoa; Chordata; Actinopteri; Moronidae
Description: lncRNA (ENSDLAG00005028899.1)
Source: RNAcentral
AUGCAUGCGACAGGCGUGGACAGUAAUGCCUGUGUGAUUGGGCCGCGCCGGGUGAUGAUUUUAAUAAACACACGCACGCCGAGGGGGCCACAGGUCAACGGUGUUUGGAUUCAUCAGCCUCACAGGCUGCCAGAAAAUGAAGUUAAAGGUAAGAAACUCUGCAAUUUUACAAUUAUAUUGUCAAGUUUCCACCUUUUAUCUCCUUUUCAAGCUCCACCGGGUCCUUAUACCUGCGUUUCCCUCUGUAGUAUUGGUCUCUGCACACACACAGCUUACAGUGUGUACACACCAACACUCCCACCAACAGUCACCGCAAGAGUUAAUAUGUCUAUUGUUUGGCCAGCACGUCAAGCACUUAUCCCUGAGUGUUUGCAGGCUGCUGCAGGGAAAGAAUUAAAGUUUAUAGAGACAUGCAGAGAAUGA